RNAcentral lists this long non-coding RNA (717 nucleotides) under Homo sapiens (human). Its description in RNAcentral is "non-protein coding lnc-UBIAD1-1:1". The record is from RNAcentral. Lineage: Eukaryota; Metazoa; Chordata; Mammalia; Primates; Hominidae.
GGGGGGCAACCAGGAUGGGGGCUCUGUGAGCGUGAACUAGAGAACCCAGAAAGACACACAGUCCCUGGGAACCUGGAAGCUACCGUGUUCCUGCUGCACCCUUACGUGUGUACUCUGCAAGCCUUUUGGCCAGACAAGUCACAUGGCCCUGAGGCGGGUGCUGGAAAACGUGGAGGAGGGGUGGCUUUGGUCGCUGGACACACAUCUCUGCCACGGUGACUGACGGAGGCUGUGAAAGGACAAUCUGAGUGAAGAAGUGAAUGAGGUGCUGAUUCCACAGGGACUUCCUGAGAAGGGCGGAGUGGCUCCCAGCGGACGGGAAUUAGAGACCGCCUGAGAACAGGAAACCUACCUCCUCUAUUUCUGGGUUCCCAGUGUCCUGCCCAGAGCCCAUCAUGUGGCAGAAGCUCAGGACACAAAUGUCAGGGGCAGAAGACUAAGUCCUUGCUCUGGGCAGGGGUCAGGACGUGUGCAGCUCCUUGGCCCCAGAAUUGUUUCCCUCCUGCCUCACUCCCUGGUGUAGAAUUUGGCCCAGACGCUCCCUGCCAUGUGACUUGGCAGGAGCUCCCUCUAGAGGAGGGGUAGUGAUAUAGCUGUAAAUCUCACGUUGAGGCUGGGCGCGUUGGCUCAAGCCUGUAAUCCCAGCACUUUGGGAGGCUGAGGCAGGCGGAUCACCUGAAGCCAGGAGUUCGAGACCAGCCUGCCCAACAUGGUGAA